UCUCCGUUUGUGAACCAGCGGAGGGAUCAUUACAGGACUCGCAAGACUCCUACAACCCUGUGAACUUAACUAUAAGCACGUUGCUUCGGCGGGUGUCUCGGAGGGGGUUCUCCCUCCCCGAGACGCUAAACCCGCCGGCAGCCUACUAUACUCUGUCUCUUUGCGUUGGCAUCUCGAGUACAAUCAAACAAGUUAAAACUUUCAACAACGGAUCUCUUGGUUCUG
Molecule: unclassified non-coding RNA, 225 nt
Filed under: plant metagenome
Description: partial contains small subunit ribosomal RNA, internal transcribed spacer 1, and 5.8S ribosomal RNA
Source: RNAcentral